GUAGGGAAUAUUGCACAAUGGAGGAAACUCUGAUGCAGCGACGCCGCGUGAGUGAUGAAGGCCUUCGGGUCGUAAAGCUCUGUCGCAGGGGUAUAACACAAUGAAGGUACCCUGUAAGAAAGGAUCGGCUAACUUCGUGCCAGCAGCCGCGGUAAGACGAGGGAUCCCAGCGUUGUUCGGAAUCAUUGGGCGUAAAGCGGAUGUAGGUGGCUAUGUAAGUCAGAUGUGAGAGCCUGGGGCUCAACCCCAGAAGUGCAGUUGAUACUGCGUAGCUUGAGUGUCGGAGAGGUCACUAGAAUUGUUGGUGUAGUGGUGAAAUACGUAGAUAGCAACAGGAAUACCGGAGGCGAAGGCGGGUAACUGGCCGAACACUGACACUGAGAUCCGAAAGCGUGGGGAUCAAACAGGAUUAGAAACCCGUGUAGUCC
This 428-nucleotide ribosomal RNA is filed under the name uncultured bacterium. Its description in RNAcentral is "bacterial SSU rRNA". It matches the Rfam family "Bacterial small subunit ribosomal RNA", at positions 354 to 796 of the family's 1533-position model. The record is from RNAcentral.